UGAACGCUGGCGGCGUGCCUAAUACAUGCAAGUCGAGCGAACAGAUGAGGAGCUUGCUCCUCUGACGUUAGCGGCGGACGGGUGAGUAACACGUGGAUAACCUACCUAUAAGACUGGGAUAACUUCGGGAAACCGGAGCUAAUACCGUAUAAUAUAUUGAACCGCAUGGUUCACUAGUGAAAGACGGUUUUGCUGUAACUUAUAGAUGGAUCCGCGCCGCAUUAGCUAGUUGGUAAGGUAACGGCUUACCAAGGCAACGAUGCGUAGCCGACCUGAGAGGGUGAUCGGCCACACUGGAACUGAGACACGGUCCAGACUCCUACGGGAGGCAGCAGUAGGGAAUCUUCCGCAAUGGGCGAAAGCCUGACGGAGCAACGCCGCGUGAGUGAUGAAGGUCUUCGGAUCGUAAAACUCUGUUAUUAGGGAAGAACAAAUGUGUAAGUAACUAUGCACGUCUUGACGGUACCUAAUCAGAAAGCCACGGCUAACUACGUG
This 495-nucleotide ribosomal RNA is filed under the name uncultured bacterium. Its description in RNAcentral is "partial 16S ribosomal RNA". It matches the Rfam family "Bacterial small subunit ribosomal RNA", at positions 30 to 507 of the family's 1533-position model. The record is from RNAcentral.